The sequence is a ribosomal RNA, 903 nucleotides long. It matches the Rfam family "Eukaryotic large subunit ribosomal RNA", at positions 1 to 925 of the family's 3401-position model.
UUGACCUCGGAUCAGGUAGGGAUACCCGCUGAACUUAAGCAUAUCAAUAAGCGGAGGAAAAGAAACCAACAGGGAUUGCCUCAGUAACGGCGAGUGAAGCGGCAACAGCUCAAAUUUGAAAUCUGGCCCCUGGGCCCGAGUUGUAAUUUGUAGAGGAUGUUUUGGGUACCGCUGCAGUUUAAAUUUCUUGGAACAGAAUGUCAGAGAGGGUGAGAGUCCCGUCUGGAACUGCGGUAGGGCCUGUGUAAAACUCCUUCGACGAGUCGAGUUGUUUGGGAAUGCAGCUCAAAAUGGGUGGUAAAUUUCAUCUAAAGCUAAAUAUUGGCCAGAGACCGAUAGCGCACAAGUAGAGUGAUCGAAAGAUGAAAAGCACUUUGAAAAGAGAGUUAAACAGUAUGUGAAAUUGUUGAAAGGGAAGCGCUUGCAACCAGACUUGAGUGUGGUGGUUCCCCCUUGCUUCUGCUUGGGUUACUCCAUCAUAUCCAGGCCAACAUCGGUUCUAGGGGUUGGUUAAAGGCCCUGGGAAUGUACCUACCUCCGGGUAGACUUAUAGCCCAGGGUGUCAUGCAGCCUCCUGGGACCGAGGAACGCGCCUCGGCGAGGAUGUUGGCGUAAUGGUUGUCAGCGACCCGUCUUGAAACACGGACCAAGGAGUCUAACAUCUAUGCGAGUGUUUGGGUGUCAAACCCGUACGCGAAAUGAAAGUGAACGGAGGUAGGAAGCCGCAAGGCUGCACUAUCGACCGAUCCUGAUAUUUAUGGAUGGAUUUGAGUAAGAGCAUAGCUGUUGGGACCCGAAAGAUGGUGAACUAUGCCUGAAUAGGGUGAAGCCAGAGGAAACUCUGGUGGAGGCUCGCAGCGGUUCUGACGUGCAAAUCGAUCGUCAAAUUUGGGUAUAGGGGCG